CCCCCGUCUCACUCUCCAUUCUCUGGAUGUCAGCCAGACUGUGCUGGAACUUAGUUACGUGACUGUCUGUCCAUUCUGUCCCAUAAACAUGCAAUAAAAUCAGUGCGACUCUGUGCUUUACCCACUUUUACCGGUGUAACUCACUCUCCCGUUGACUGGCUCCUGUCCAGUUUGAGGAGCAGUUAACUUCUUGGUUUAUUAGAUAUGGGUGAAUACUAUGGGAAUAUGUGCUCAGUUGUGAAUGAGAAGGUUUUUUUUUGUGACUAGAGGAGCAAAACCUAUUUAAAUCCAGGGAAAUAUACCAGCCCCGGCUGCAGGUUCAUUCGAUGUAGUGACACCAUGAGGGAAAAAAAACACCAACACUCCGCAUCGGUCUGGGACACCACCCACCAGUACGUGUGAACCUGUCUGGCCACUGCUGCUCCUCCCACUGACCUGUGGAGAAUUCGGCACAAUCACAGUGACGCUGGGACAGGUCUGAAGGCCAGUUAAAACAAUAUAGUCAAGAAUGACAAUGGGACCAGAUGGGGACUCCGCUGGACAGACUGCAGCCUAAACCCACCAUUUUCCAGGCUGUUGACACUCCCUGUCUGUGUGGUGUGAGCCUGGGGAGUUGUUAUCCCUUCCGAAAGAGAUGGUUCGCGAUCCAUCCCAGAAAGACGGCAAACACAAGACUGAUAACCAGAGGCUUAGUUAAUCGUCUACAAUCAGGGUUCCCGACCCCUGGUCCGCGGUCAGUUUUCCACCAGGACGGAGUACCCUGUUUUAUGGAAGGGCUGGUUAAUUCCCAAAAAUAAAGGCCUAUAUUCUCACGA
This is a non-coding RNA of Paramormyrops kingsleyae, 815 nucleotides long. Lineage: Eukaryota; Metazoa; Chordata; Actinopteri; Osteoglossiformes; Mormyridae. The record is from RefSeq and is a predicted model, not a curated record.